This 912-nucleotide long non-coding RNA is filed under the name Homo sapiens (human). RNAcentral's name for it is "HSALNT0339387". The record is from RNAcentral. Lineage: Eukaryota; Metazoa; Chordata; Mammalia; Primates; Hominidae.
CGGAGAAUGCAGUGGGAUCAGAACCCUAGAGUGGGCAUGAAGAGGAGAAAAAACAAAUUCUGAAAUCACCAUGGAAACACUACAGAGAUAACCUUCAUAUUCUGGGCAUCAGCACAAUCCUCCAAAUCCCUUUUGAAAACAAAUGCAUCCUUAUUGCUACGGCAGCCACUUAAUCUAGACACAAAUACAGCUAUAUUAGGUGCACUGUAAUGAAAAGUGAGGAAAGGAGAGUAGAGGAGGAGGAGGAGAGAUAAAAUAUUUUAGAGAACAUUUAUAAACAUUCCUUGUAAAGUUGAUAAACAAUCUUUGAAAGACACAGAAUCCAAAAUACAUACGAAGAUUAUGUGGAUUACAAAAGAAAGCACUGCUCAACUUGACCCUAUCAGCUUUACCUGACUUCCUGGGAGGUACAGAACAAGAAUCUUCAAGAGAGAAAAAUGACAUUCAACCAAGCAAAUCUAAUGCAAGUGGGUUAUGAACACAGUUAUCAAAAUCAACCCAAGUAAUUGUGAGGAAAUUUACAACUGUAUGUGAAGAAACCAGAGAAGAUGAAGACAAACCGCACAUGCUUCCUUAAAACAAAAUCUACAUCCAGCUUCAAUAAAAAGAUAGGUGUUUCCACACACACACACAAAAGUUCCAAAAUAGCUCAUCAAAAGUACUGAACCAGACAUAUGAAGACUUGAAGAUAAAGGAGUCAGAGAAAAAUAAGGAAUUAGCUUAUAACUGUAUCUUCUCAUCAGUCCUCCAACUAGUACAAUUAGGAAAAGCAGGCAGCAGGUAGAAAUAUCUGUACAUAAAAAUAAUUGCUACAUAACAAAGAUACUGUCACAAGACUAAGGAUUUCUUUAUUAUACCUUUUUUUUUUUUUUUGAGAUGGAGUUUUGCUCUUUUUGCCCAGGCUAGAGUGCA